This is a transfer RNA of Lottia gigantea (owl limpet), 86 nucleotides long. It matches the Rfam family "Selenocysteine transfer RNA". Lineage: Eukaryota; Metazoa; Mollusca; Gastropoda; Lottiidae. The record is from Rfam.
GCCCAACUGAGCUUCAGGGGUCUGGGGUGCAGGCUUCAAACCUGUAGCUGAUUAACGUCAGACUGGUUCGACUCCACCUGGUGGGC